This 505-nucleotide ribosomal RNA is filed under the name uncultured bacterium. RNAcentral describes it as "partial 16S ribosomal RNA". It matches the Rfam family "Bacterial small subunit ribosomal RNA", at positions 28 to 507 of the family's 1533-position model. The record is from RNAcentral.
GACGAACGCUGGCGGCGUGCCUAAUACAUGCAAGUAGAACGCACAGUUUAUACCGUAGCUUGCUACACCAUAGACUGUGAGUUGCGAACGGGUGAGUAACGCGUAGGUAACCUGCCUGGUAGCGGGGGAUAACUAUUGGAAACGAUAGCUAAUACCGCAUAAUAUUGAUUAUUGCAUGAUAAUUGAUUGAAAGAUGCUAUUGCAUCACUACCAGCUGGACCUGCGUUGUAUUAGCUAGUAGGUGAGGUAACGGCUCACCUAGGCGACGAUACAUAGCCGACCUGAGAGGGUGAUCGGCCACACUGGGACUGAGACACGGCCCAGACUCCUACGGGAGGCAGCAGGAGGGAAUCUUCGGCAAUGGACGAAAGUCUGACCGAGCAACGCCGCGUGAGGGAAGAAGGGUUUCGGAUCGGAAAGCUCGGUUGUAAGAGAAGAACGGGUGGGAGAGUGGAAAGUUCACACUGUGACGGUAUCUUACCAGAAAGGGACGGCUAACUACGUG